UGUAUGUAUAUGUGUGUGUGUAUGUAUGUAUAUAUGUCUACCCAUCAACUUUAUCCCUAGAGAGGUAUACAAAAUGUUUACUUUAAUAGCAGCAACUCAUUUUCAUUUGCUCUUAAUUGCUGAAAAUAUUUAGAAAUGAUCUUUUCAUCAUCGCACACUUCAUUUUGGCAUUUUAAUCAGAUUGAUUUGAACCGUAUAAAGAUUGCUUUGUUAUUACAGGAUCAUCUUUUGUAUGCGUUUUAACGGUUUCCAGCCCUUUAUCCAUCUCUGUCUCACCUUCCACAUUCUCGUACACUCAUCAGUAAUGCUGGUUCGUGACUGGGCUGGUGGGUGUGCACGCUUGUCUGUGAAAUUAUGAAUGGGGUGUGUGUGUGUGUGUGUGUGAGCGAGAAAGAGAGAGAAAGGGAGGGAUGGAGAGACACUGCAUUGUGAACCGAGAAGGAUUCACUCACCGACUGCUCACCUUCACAGACACGCAGGAGAAGGGCAGCUGAGCGGAUAGAUCAGAUUGUGUUUGAGGAGACGCUUGGUCUGAGCUCACGAUUAAAUCAUGGAUCAGAAGUCCACUUCACCUCAGAGACAUGCAGUGAAAAGCAGGUCGAAGUCUACAGAGGAGGUCCAGCAAGCUAAAAAGGCCUUCCACAUCCCCCAGAAAUCCCUGCCUGGAGGCUCAGAGCUGGAAAAGGUGAAAGAGGGACCAGAAGAAAAUGUGACUCCAGCGUCAUCCAUAGAAGAGCUCAAGUGAUGCUGCCGUUAAUCUGUGUUUCUCUCUCUCACACACACACACACACACACACACACACACACACAACGAUAAAUGCUUGGUUUUAUAAAAGUUUGGUAUAGUACAGUUCAAGUGUUAGCUCUUACGUUCGUCGGAUUUUCAGCAGCUCAACACGCGCACAAUUAUGAAACCCGCACUUCUGUUCACAGACACGAUGUUUCUUAUAAACACAGCGCUUUCAGUUUAAAUGAACGGCAUCUUUGCUAUUUCUUUACAGCCAGUAGGUGUAAAUGUGUACAUUUUGGCAGUCGUAUUAAUAUUUAGGGUGUCUGACGUGAUCCACAGAGCCCCUAAAGUGACGUUGUGGUGAAAAAACUUAGAUGGAAGUUAUGAGAUAUAUUUCAAUGCUUUUGUACUGAAUGCUUUUGCAUUUUGCAUCACAAAAGUGAUAUAAAGCAAGGUUAGUGAACAGUUUUUCACGAGAAGUAAAUACACUUUUCCUCCCAUCUAUUUUUUAAACCAUGAUGUAUUUUUAGAGGCUGCAUAGACUCCAUUAGAUAUCCAAAUGAGUCUUUUUUUUUCCAGCACAUUCUGCUGUCUACUUGUAUGUUUAUUGAAAGUUUUUUUUUUUUUUUUUUUUUUUUUUUACUCCACGCUGGUUUCUCGUGCAUUUAGGCCCCUGUGAGUCAACCAGUGUCAGACGCUCAUUUGUUGACUUAUUUAUUGGCAUCGGCUGAACAGAGCUGACGUACCGUAUGAGUCAGCUGAAGAUGUUGUGUAAGUGUUUACAGUAUCCAUGCCGUAAGUUAAACAGUUUGUGCUAAUAAAGUUUUAACCACUCAUCGUGCUGAAGUUCAGUGAUUAAGUGAAUCGCUCUCACAGCUGUGAAGAUAAAUGCAAACCUUGCAGUCUAUGUAGUUUCUGACCAAAGUAAAAUGAAACCGCUGUCAACAUGUGUUUAAGUAAAGCUUAAAUUUACGGUCAUCCGGGAUGGAGGCUAGAUGAGCUUUUUCUUCAUUGGAUUCGGGGGAAAUGUAGGAUUGCAUCACUUGCUCAGCAAUGUGUCCUGUGCAGUGAAUGGGUGCCACGGAGUGCUUAAUUUGUACAUUAAAACUCCCUGAAAAAAAUGCUUGCUCUCUCCAAGGGCCGCUUAAAAGUUGAGCGCUCACCGUCUCCUCCAAAGCCGACUCUCGAGUAUCACAGUGAGUUAUUUUCUUAAGUUGAACACACACACACACACACACACACACA
This is a long non-coding RNA of Puntigrus tetrazona (Sumatra barb), 1975 nucleotides long. RefSeq lists it as uncharacterized. NCBI's taxonomy places the organism in Eukaryota, Metazoa, Chordata, Actinopteri, Cypriniformes, Cyprinidae. The record is from RefSeq and is a predicted model, not a curated record. The transcript is spliced from 5 exons.